GAGCUGCGAGGGAGGAUGGGAGGUUCAGAGUAGGAGGAGCAGCAGCAGCUGGACUGGCCUCCCACUUCCCACCCUCUGAGGGCUGCCAUAGGGGCUUCCCGAGCAAAAGCACCCAUCAGGUGCUGGGAUAAAGCCCGGAGCAGGAGGAGACUGCAGGAGAAGCCAGAUCAUCCGAGUCACCGGGUGCUGAGCCAGCGCCUCCUGGGGUCAAUCGAGACUCAAGACUUGGAACACUACUCGUGCAGAAGCCAGCAAGGUGGGACUGCAGCGGGGGCAUGAAGGAGCUGUGAAGAGGCUAGAGCCAAGUAAGGGGCUACCGGAGGUGGCUCAGGGGUCUGGCUCUGUCAUCAGGUCUCCUUGGAGAGCGGUGAGUUCACCAGGGCUGCCCUGGGCAGAGUGAGCUGGUGCUGAGAGAACUGCAACUGUGACAGCCUAGGGGCCAGACGCUGGACACGUGGCUGUGAUGAAUGGCAUAGAUGAGAGACCGCCACACCUCGCCUCACCCGCCUCCCUCCACACCUGCUUGCGUGCCCACCUCCUCGUAGUCGUUCUCCGGGGUCAGGAAAUCAUCCACGAUGGUGACCCGGGGGCCCAGCUGCUCGCUCAGCACGUCCAGGAAGCGAGAUGGGGCCUCACUAUGUUGCCAGGCUGGUCUCAA
Molecule: long non-coding RNA, 658 nt
Filed under: Homo sapiens (human)
Lineage: Eukaryota; Metazoa; Chordata; Mammalia; Primates; Hominidae
Description: HSALNT0339089
Source: RNAcentral